ACUCCUACGGGAGGCAGCAGUGGGGAAUUUUGGACAAUGGGCGAAAGCCUGAUCCAGCCAUGCCGCGUGCAGGAUGAAGGCCUUCGGGUUGUAAACUGCUUUUGUACGGAACGAAACGGCCUUUUCUAAUAAAGAGGGCUAAUGACGGUACCGUAAGAAUAAGCACCGGCUAACUACGUGCCAGCAGCCGCGGUAAUACGUAGGGUGCAAGCGUUAAUCGGAAUUACUGGGCGUAAAGCGUGCGCAGGCGGUUAUGUAAGACAGUUGUGAAAUCCCCGGGCUCAACCUGGGAACUGCAUCUGUGACUGCAUAGCUAGAGUACGGUAGAGGGGGAUGGAAUUCCGCGUGUAGCAGUGAAAUGCGUAGAUAUGCGGAGGAACACCGAUGGCGAAGGCAAUCCCCCGGACCUGUACUGACGCUCAUGCACGAAAGCGUGGGGAGCAAACAGGAUUAGAAACCCGGGUAGUCCCAUGAU
This 475-nucleotide ribosomal RNA is filed under the name uncultured organism. Its description in RNAcentral is "partial 16S ribosomal RNA". It matches the Rfam family "Bacterial small subunit ribosomal RNA", at positions 335 to 801 of the family's 1533-position model. The record is from RNAcentral.